This 3171-nucleotide long non-coding RNA is filed under the name Homo sapiens (human). RNAcentral describes it as "non-protein coding lnc-RAD52-2:14". The record is from RNAcentral. Lineage: Eukaryota; Metazoa; Chordata; Mammalia; Primates; Hominidae.
CUGCUGUCAUCUCCCCCUUCAGUACUUCCCACAUAUGACUACCAACUGUUAGACGAUGUGCUGCUGCCAGACCAGCCUUUCAUUUCUUGGACAUCCGGCUAUUUACCCAGGAAAAGUCAUCCUUUGACUAUUUUUCAUGACCUUUCUCAUCUGACUCGUGAUCUGCCCAUCUUGUUACUCCCUAGCAGUGUGGUAAGUGAAUUCUUGUUUCUGCCUUAAAUCUACUUCUGUCUCAGCCAAAUUCAUUCUCCCAAGAAGACAAGGAUCGAGGACUGUGGAGCCAACUCAGACUCGCCACGGCUAACAAUGUUUCCUGGGAUCGCCUCCCAAAUAAACUGCUUGUACUUGAACCCUUGUCUCAGAGUUGACUACUGGAAGAACCCCAGAUAAGACAAUCUGCGAGUAGACAUGUCAGAUAAUGCAGUUAGAUAUGAAUCUGGAAUUCAGAGGAGAGGCUCAUGCAAUUUGCAAGUCAUCAUCAAAAAGAUGUCAUUUGUUCUGUUUGUCUACUGCAGGAAGACAGAUUACCCUAAAAUUUAGUGGCUGAAAACAACUCUAUUUUAUCGUAGCUUACAAUUUUGUGGAUUGGGAAUUAGAGCCUGUCUCAUCUGGGCAACUCUUCUGUUCCCCAUGGCAUCACCUGAGGUCACUCCAUGGUAUUCAGCUACCAGACGAACUCAUCUGGAGUAUCCAAGUAUUCAUUCACGCUCAUAUCUGGCACCUUGGCAGGGAUGACUGGAAGCCUGGGCUCAGCUGGGACUGCUGACCAUAGUACCUACAAAUGGCCUCUUCAGCAUGGCUUCUUAAAUGGCUGCUCGGAGCUACCAAGAGACAGGAAGUAGAAGCUGCUAGUUUCUUAAGACCCAGAAAUGGUACAAUUUCAUUCCUGCCAUUGGUCAAAGCAGUCACAGAGCCUUCCAAGAGGAAACACAGACCCUCACUUCUCACUGGGAAGUAUGUCAAAGAGUUUGGGGCUUUUUUUUUGAGAAGGAGUCUUGCUCUGUCGCCCAGGCUGGAGUGCAGUGGCAAGAUCUCGGCUCACUGCAACCUCUGCCUCCCGAAUUCAAGCAAUUCUCCUGCUUUGGCCUCCCAAGUAGCUGGGAUUACAGGCAUGCGCCACCACACCCGGCUAAUUUUUUUGUAUUUUUAGUGGAGACGGGGUUUCACCAUAUGGGCCAGGCUGGUCUCGAACUCCUGACCUUGUGAUUCACCUGCCUCAGCCUCCCAAAGUGCUGGGAUUACAGACGUAAGCCACUGCGCCCAGCCCUGGGGCUGUCUUUAAUCCACUACAACAUUGCAAAGCUGUGAGCCAGGAUGAGAACGCCAGAGGUAUGAAUGUGGAUUAAAAGUCCAAGCACUGAAACUUUCAAUGUUUAGAGACCAGUGAGAGAAAGAACCAGCAACAGAGACUCAGAACUAUAUCAUAUUCUGCUGAUAAGCCAAUAAGAUGAUAAUGAUAACUAAGAAUUGACAUUGGCUUUAGUGAUGUAGACAUAAUUGGGGACCUUGACAAGAGCAGUUUACUGGGGGUGGUUGAGUUGAAACUUUGAUUGUUUCAAGAGAGAAUGGAAUGAGUGGAAAGAUAGUUUGUGAGUGCUAGCAAUUAUUCAGAGAAUUUCUGCUAUAAAUGGGAGCAGGAGGAUGUAUCAGGAGCUAAUGGGAGAAAUGAGGUCAACAUUAUUUCCUAUGUAGCUUUCUCUUAUGCCCAAAUUCCACUGGAUAUCAUCCACUUCUGGUUACUUCUGGUUUGGGAUGUAUAGGUGAAGGAAUAGUUUUGGAUCCUCCUUUAUUACCUGUUUUAUUUGCAUAAUUGGACAAUAACUAAACUUGCUUUAAAUAUCUCUUAAAGCAUUUUAAAUUCAAAUUUGGAGAGAGGAAUAUGAGAGUGGUUUUUGGUCAUUGUUUAGCCAUAUACAAUAUUGUCUUACCUUCUGCAUUUGAAGUUUUUGAUACCUGAUAAAUGUUUGUAUUGUGUAGUUGAACAAGAAUUUGCCACAUGAAGGUUUACAGUUGUAGUUUUAUGUUAAGUUCUUUACAGUAGUCCCCUCUCAUCUUUAUCCCCCACUUGGAACUAUCUACAGUAGUUCCAGGACCCCCCUCCCAGUGGAUGAUUGAAACCAUGGAUAGUACCAAACCCUAUAUACAUAUUAUGUUUUUCCUAUACAUACAUACCUAUGAUGUUUAAUUUCUAAAUUAGGCGGAGUAAGAGAUGAACAACAACUAAUAAUGUAAUAGAACAGUUGUAACAAUAUACUAUAAUAAGAGCUACAUGAAUGUGGUUUCUCCCUCUCAAAAUGUGUUACUGUACUCACCUAUCUUUGGUCCAUGGUUGUCUGUGGGUGACUGAAACUGCAUAUAAGGCAGGGGACUACUGUAACCACAGGUGUUGGAAGGCAGCAUAGCAGAGUAGUUAGGGUCAGGACUGCGGAGGAAGACUGCCUAGGUUCAUAUUAUGAUGUAAACUCUCCAUGCCUCACUUUUCUUAUCUAAUGCGGAGAUAAUAAUAGUAACUCAUUUGUAAAGUUAUUAUAAGUAUUAAAUGAGAAAAUACAUGUAAGACACUUAGAGUAUCACAGGUCAUCACUUACUUAGUAUGUAGUAAGUAUUUGAUGAGGUUAGUUACUAUUCUUAUUGAGCAGUGAAUCAGUUAGGAAUGCUUUCGGCUGCAAGGAGGAGAAUACUGAUUUACAGUGGCCUCAGUGAGAAGCCUGCAUUUCUCUCACAGAGCAGGCACUGCAGAGGUAGGCAGCUGCUAAAACAGGUUCCUUUCUACAGCUCCAGGGGUCUGAGUUGGCCACUCUUCAGUUCCCUCGGACCUCCCCUGUUGUUUGCCACACCACCAAUCAUCACAUUCUCAAAGGCAUUCAAGGCAGAAAGCUGGGAACAAGGAAGGGCGGAGAGUUUCUCUUCAGGAGCCUCCCUCUUACUAGAGAAGAAAAAAACCUGCCUUUUAUGGGUUCUUUUGUCUUGUUUUUCAUGACUGUCUUCAUUUGAGAAAGUCCUCAGGCCAAGAAAUGGAGGUGCUGGCAGUUGGAGAUCAGGCUGUCCAUAGCACACUGAUGUGGCACAGGCAAGGAAUAUGGCUGAGGCACCAAUUUGCUGCUACUGCUGUCUAACAGGCAUUGGAAGUCUUAUGUGUUCAAAAAUAAACUUCUGAUUUCUACUCCCAAA